RNAcentral lists this ribosomal RNA (253 nucleotides) under uncultured bacterium. Its description in RNAcentral is "partial 16S ribosomal RNA". It matches the Rfam family "Bacterial small subunit ribosomal RNA", at positions 524 to 776 of the family's 1533-position model. The record is from RNAcentral.
UACAGAGGUCUCAAGCGUUGUUCGGAUUCAUUGGGCGUAAAGGGUGCGUAGGCGGCGCGGUAAGUCGGGUGUGAAAUCUCGGAGCUUAACUCCGAAACUGCAUUCGAUACUGCCGUGCUUGAGGACUGGAGAGGAGACUGGAAUUUACGGUGUAGCGGUGAAAUGCGUAGAUAUCGUAAGGAAGACCAGUGGCGAAGGCGGCUCACUGGACUGGUACUGACGCUGAUGCGCGAAGGCGUGGGGAGCAAACAGG